AAGAAGCUGGUGAUGAAAAAGUGAAGUUAAAGGUUGAACUGAUUGGAGGAAAUCUUCCAAACGAGAUUUGCGAUAUUUCUUGGAAAAUCCCAAGACUUGGAGGAAAGGUGAAGCUGGAAACCGAAGAGUUUGAGUUUGAUGAGUGCUUGUUCUAUGGUCAAAU
Small nucleolar RNA from Caenorhabditis elegans, 163 nucleotides. Lineage: Eukaryota; Metazoa; Nematoda; Chromadorea; Rhabditida; Rhabditidae. The record is from Ensembl.